Oncorhynchus keta (chum salmon) is the source of this 4056-nucleotide long non-coding RNA. RefSeq lists it as uncharacterized. NCBI's taxonomy places the organism in Eukaryota, Metazoa, Chordata, Actinopteri, Salmoniformes, Salmonidae. The record is from RefSeq and is a predicted model, not a curated record. The transcript is spliced from 3 exons.
CCCCUCAAGGGUAGGUACUUAGUCCCCUCCUGUACUCACUGUUCACCCACGACUGAAAUGCCACGCACGACUCCAACACCAUCAUUAAGUUUGCCGACGACACAACACAACGGUGGUAGGCCUGAUCUCUGACACUGAUGAGACAGCCUACAGGAAGGAGGUCAGGACAACAACCUAUCUCUCAAUUUGAUCAAUACAAAAGUGCUGAUCGUGGACUACAGGAAAAGGGUGGCGAGCAUGCCCUCAUUCACAUUGACAGAGCUGUAGUGGAGCGGGUCGAGAGCUUCAAGUUCCUAGGCGUCCACAUCACCAAAUAACUAUCAUGGUCCAAACACACCAAGACAGUCGUGAAGAGAGGCACGACAACACCUUUUCCCCUUCAGGAGACUGAAAAGAUUUAGCGUGGGUCCUCAGAUCCUCAAAAGGUUCUACAGCUGCACCAUCGAGAGCAUCCUGACCGGUUGCAUCACCGACUGGUAUUGCAGCUGUUCGGCACCAUCGAGAGCAUCAUCGCAUGAUAUGGCAACUGCUUGGCAUCCGACCGCACGGCAAGCGGUACCGGAGUGCCAAGUCUAGGUCCAAAAGGCUCCUUAACACCCCCUAAUCCAUAAGACUGCUGAACGAUUAAUAAAAUGGCUACCCGGACAAUAUGCAUUAGCCCCCUUUAUUUACACUGCUGCUACUCGUUGUUUAUUAAUCAUAUCAAAUCAAAUGUUAUUUGUCACGUGCGCCGAAUACAACAAGUGUAGACCUUACAGUGAAAUGCUGAAUACAACAGGUGUAGUAGACCUCACAGUGAAAUGCUGAAUACAACAGGUGUAGUAGACCUCACAGUGAAAUGCUGAAUACAACAGGUGUAGUAGACCUCACAGUGAAAUGCUGAAUACAACAGGUGUAGUAGACCUUACAGUGAAAUGCUGAAUACAACAGUUGUAGUAGACCUUACAGUGAAAUGCUGAAUACAACAGGUGUAGUAGACCUUACAGUGAAAUGCUGAAUACAACAGGUGUAGUAGACCUUACAGUGAAAUGCUUACCUACAAGCCCUAACCAACAAUGCAGUUUUUUUUUACUUUUAAAAAAGACCUACAAAAGAAUAAGAAAUAAAAAUAACAAAUAAUUAUCUAUGUAUAGUCACUUUAUUAUUAGGAUUAAAAUCUUUAUUUUAAUCCUUUAUUUACCUAGAUGUACAUAUUGCCUCAAUUACCUCGACUAACCUGAGUUUAGUUAGACAAUAAAUAAAGUAAGAAAAAUUUAACACAAUAAUGAAAACAGUAGCAAGGCUCUAUACAGGGUGUUAUGGUACAGAGUCAAUGUGGAGGCUAUAUACAGGGUGUUACGGUACAGAGUCAAUGUGGAGGCUAUAUACAGGGUAUUACGGUACAGAGUCAAUGUGGAGGCUAUAUACAGGGUGUUACGGUACAGAGUCAAUGUGGAGGCUAUAUACAGGGUGUUACGGUACAGAGUCAAUGUGGAGGUUAUAUGCAGGGUGUUACGGUACAGAGUCAAUGUGGAGGCUAUAUACAGGGUGUUACGGUACAGAGUCAAUGUGGAGGCUAUAUACAGGGUGUUACGGUACAGAGUCAAUGUGGAGGCUAUAUACAGGGUGUUACGGUACAGAGUCAAUGUGGAGGUUAUAUACAGGGUGUUACGGUACAGAGUCAAUGUGGAGGCUAUAUACAGGGUGUUACGGUACAGAGUCAAUGUGGAGGCUAUAUACAGGGUGUUACGGUACAGAGUCAAUGUGGAGGCUAUAUACAGGGUGUUACGGUACAGAGUCAAUGUGGAGGCUAUAUACAGGGUGUUACGGUACAGAGUCAAUGGGGAGACUAUAUACAGGGUGUUACAGUACAGAGUCAAUGUGGAGGCUAUAUACAGGGGGUACCGGUACAGAGUCAAUGUGGAGGCUAUAUACAGGGGCUACCGGUACCGGAGUCAAUGUGUGGGGGUACAGGUUAGUAAUGAGACUAAAUACAAGGGGUACCGGUACCGAGUCAAUGUGCGGGGGCACUGGUUCGUUGAGGUAAUAUCGACAUGUACAGUUGAAGUCUGAAGUUUACAUACACCUCAGCCAAAUACAUUCAAACUCAGUUUUUCACAAUUCAUGGCAUUGAAUCCUAGUAUAAAUUCCCUGUCUUAGGUCAGUUAGGAUCUCCAUUUUAUUUUAAGAAUGUGAAAUGUCAGAAUAAUAGUAGAGAGCAUGAUUUAUAUAAGCUUUUAUUUAUUUCAUCACAAUCCCAGUGGGUCAGAAGUAUACAUACACUCAAUUAGUAUUUGGUAGCAUUGCCUUUAAAUGGUUUAACUUGGGUCAAACGUUUAGGGUAGCCUUCCACAAGCUUCCCACACUAAGUUGGGUGAAUUUUGGCCCGUUCCUCCUGACAGAGCUGGUGUAACUGAGUCAGGUUUGUAGGCCUCCUUGCUCGCACAUGCUUUUUCAGUUCUUUCCACACAUUUUCUAUAGGAUUGAGGUCAGGGCUUUGUGAUGAACACUCCAAUACCUUGACUUUCUGGUCCUUAAGCCAUUUUGCCACAACUUUGGAAGUAUGCUUGGGGUCAUUGUCCAAUUGGAAGACCCAUUUGUGACCAAGCAUUAACUUCCUGACUGAUUCUUGAGAUGUUGCUUCAUUAUAUCCACAUAAUUUUCCUACCUCAUGAUGCCAUCUAUUUUGUGGUAGUGCACCAGACCCUCCUGCAGCAAAGCACCCCCACAACAUGAUGCUGCCACCCCCGUGCUUCACAGUUGGGAUGGUGUUCUUCGGCUUGCAAGCCUCCCCCUUUUUCCUCCAAACAUAACGAUGGUCAUUAUGGCCAAACCGUUCUAUUUUUGUUUCAUCAAACCAGAGGACAUUUCUCCAAAAAGUAUGAUCUUUGUCCCCAUGUGCAGUUGCAGACCGUAGUCUGGCUUUUUUAUGGCGGAUUUGGAGCAGUGGCUUCUUCCUUGCUUAGAGGCCUUUCAGGUUAUGUCGAUAUAGGACUCGUUUUACUGUGGAUAUAAAUACUUUUGUACCUGUUUCCUCCAGCAUCUUCACAAGGUGAUUUGCUGUUGUUCUGUGAUUGAUUUGCACUUUUCACACCAAAGUACGUUCAUCUCUAGGAGACAGAACACGUCUCCUUCCUGAGCGGUAUGACGGCUGCGUGGUCCCAUGGUGUUUAUACUUGCGCACUAUUGUUUGUACAGAUGAACGUGGUACCUUCAGGCGCUUGGAAAUUGCUCCCAAAGAUGAUCCAGACUUGUGGAGGUCUACAAUCUUUUUUCUGAGGUCUUGGCUGAUUUAUUUUGAUUUUCCCAUGAUGUCAAGCGAAGAGGCACUAAGUUUACAUACAUCCACAGGUACACCUCCAAUUGACUCUAAUGAUGUCAAUUAGCCUAUCAGAAGCAUCUAAAGCCAUGACAUCAUUUUCUAGAAUGUACCUAACUGUUUAAAGGCCCAGUAAUCUUAGUGUAUGUACACUUCUGACCCACUGGAAUUGGGAUGCAGUGAAUUAUAAGUGAAAUAAUCUGACUGUAAACAUAUGUUGGAAAAAUGACUUGUGUCAUGCACAAAGUAGAAGUCCUAACCGACUUUCUGACUUCAACUGUAGGUAGAGUUAUUAAAGUGACUAUGCGUAGAUGAUAACAACACCACCUGUGUGAUGUAAGUGCCAUUUUUCUUAUUAUUAGAACUCAAAACACCCUAGAAGUACAUUUUAGAACUCAAAACACCGUAGAAGUACAUUUUCGAACUUAAAACACUGUAGAAGUACAUUUUUGAACUCAACUUUAAGCUAAAAUGUUCUUACUUUUUAAACAAUUCUGCACUGUUGGUUAUGGAUUUGUAUGUAAUAAUUUCAUGUUAAGGUCUGUUGUAUUCGGCGCAUGUGAAAAAUAAAAUGUAUAAAUUAAAUUAAAAAUGUUUUUGUUUUUGUGAAUCAAUCAUAUGUAUCAAACAUGUCAGACUACUGAUCUAGGAUUAGGUACCUAUGUCCCAUACACGUCAAUUCAUUAUAAUCUAAAGGACAGAACUGAUCCGAGAUCAGCGCUCCUACUCGGAGAUGAUUGAUUACGUGCCCAGGUCUC